CUACGGGAGGCAGCAGUGGGGAAUAUUGCACAAUGGGCGCAAGCCUGAUGCAGCGACGCCGCGUGAGGGAUGACGGCCUUCGGGUUGUAAACCUCUUUCAGUAGGGAAGAAGCGAAAGUGACGGUACCUGCAGAAGAAGCGCCGGCUAACUACGUGCCAGCAGCCGCGGUAAUACGUAGGGCGCAAGCGUUAUCCGGAAUUAUUGGGCGUAAAGAGCUCGUAGGCGGUUUGUCGCGUCUGCCGUGAAAGUCCGGGGCUCAACUCCGGAUCUGCGGUGGGUACGGGCAGACUAGAGUGAUGUAGGGGAGACUGGAAUUCCUGGUGUAGCGGUGAAAUGCGCAGAUAUCAGGAGGAACACCGAUGGCGAAGGCAGGUCUCUGGGCAUUAACUGACGCUGAGGAGCGAAAGCAUGGGGAGCGAACAGGAUUAGAUACCCUGGUAGUCCAUGCCGUAAACGUUGGGCACUAGGUGUGGGGGACAUUCCACGUUUUCCGCGCCGUAGCUAACGCAUUAAGUGCCCCGCCUGGGGAGUACGGCCGCAAGGCUAAAACUCAAAGGAAUUGACGGGGGCCUGCACAAGCGGCGGAGCAUGCGGAUUAAUUCGAUGCAACGCGAAGAACCUUACCAAGGCUUGACAUGGGCCGGACCGGGCUGGAAACAGUCCUUCCCCUUUGGGGCCGGUUCACAGGUGGUGCAUGGUUGUCGUCGGCUCGUGUCGUGAGAUGUUGGGUUAAGUCCCGCAACGAGCGCAACCCUCGUUCCAUGUUGCCAGCGCGUAAUGGCGGGGACUCAUGGGAGACUGCCGGGGUCAACUCGGAGGAAGGUGGGGACGACGUCAAAUCAUCAUGCCCCUUAUGUCUUGGGCUUCACGCAUGCUACAAUGGCCGGUACAAAGGGUUGCGAUACUGUGAGGUGGAACUAAUCCCAAAAAGCCGGUCUCAGUUCGGAUUGGGGUCUGCAACUCGACCCCAUGAAGUCGGAGUCGCUAGUAAUCGCAGAUCAGCAACGCUGCGGUGAAUACGUUCCCGGGCCUUGUACACA
Molecule: ribosomal RNA, 1041 nt
Filed under: uncultured Arthrobacter sp.
Lineage: Bacteria; Bacillati; Actinomycetota; Actinomycetes; Micrococcales; Micrococcaceae
Description: bacterial SSU rRNA
Rfam family: Bacterial small subunit ribosomal RNA
Source: RNAcentral